UUUUCUUUUUUUUAGGGCCACACCUGUGCCAUAUGGAAGUUCCCAGGCUAGGGGUUGAAUUGGAGCUGCAGCUAUUGGCUACACCACAGCCACAACAACACCAGAUCCUUAACCCACUGGGCAAGGCCAGGGAUCGAACCCACAUCGUCAUGGAUACUAGUUGAGUUUGUUACUGCUGAGCCACAAUGGGAACUCCCAGACAUCCUUUUUUUUUUUUUUUUUUUUUUUUUUUUGUCAAGGUUGGGGAAGGGGGCAGGAGGCACUAUCCAACAUACUGCAGCUCAUAUCGAAUACUGAUGAUAGAGUCAAAAUUGUCUUGCAUAAUUAGAAUAUAAUUAGAGUAGUCAGAUAGACUGAUUUAUUCUAGUUCACAGUAAACUGGAAAUAAUUUUUAUGCUAUUUAAAAUUUUUUCUUACCUUUAGCCCGAUAACAACUGCAUUCCUUUCUAAUUAUUCAAACACACAAAAACAAGUGCCUUGAGUAUCAGAGGAAAAUAUUCUAUAUUUUGUGACCAUAAAUUAAAAGGAAUCAGUAUUAAAAAGAUAUUUAAGAGAAAAUAGUAAAUGUUUUAGGAAGAUAACAGAGCAGUGGAUAGGUUUUAUGAUAUCCCCAAUUUAUACACAGAAUCAAACAGACUAAGCAUAAUAGAACUUUAAAAGUCACUGACAACACAAAGUAAAUGACAAGCAAUUUUAUGAUCUCCAAAAUAUGAACAAUAAACUAUCCUCUUCUACCAGAUCAAAAGAAUCAAACCUGUAUGAAGUAAAGGCAAUAGGGCUUCUUUUGUUUUUAAGAAUGAGAGAAACCUCCAGCUUCUCAACAGGGACUCAUCAGAAAGAGCAGCAAGGCCCUUUUGAUAAUAGCAAAUAAAUUGAGAAUAAAUUUGGAGAAUAAUUUGGAGAAGAGCAAAAAGCACAUGGUUAGAGACCUACAUCAACACAUCAUUAUCACCCAAAAUCUAUAGUUUACUUUAGAGUUCACUGUUGAAUCCCCAUUGUGGCUCAGUGAGUUAAGAACUCAACUAGUAUCCAUGACAAUGUGGGUUGGAUCCUUGGCCUCACUUAGUGGGUUCAAGAUCCACAGAUGCCCUGAACUGUGGUGUAGGUCACAGAUGUGGCUCAGAUCCCACGUGUUGCUGUGGCUAUGGGUGGUGUAGGCUGGCAGCUGUAGCUCUGAUUCAACCCCUCACCUGGGAACUUCCACAUGCCACAGGUACAAUCCUAAAAAGACCCCCCCCCCAAAAAAAAGAAAAAAGUAACAUUAUAUUGACAGUAAUCUUCAUUUAAUCAAAGUAAUGCAUGUAUAUAAUUAAAACAUAGAUAACAUACAAGAUUAUAAAAUGACUUUCAACUUGAUUUCCAACAUGGACACACCUGUCAAGGAAUUUGUUCCCCACCCCUUUGCAGACUUCGUUCAGUGUCUGUUCUCCUCUAAUCUGGAAUCCAGACAUACUAUUGUCUAGGCUGCUGCAGGGCUCUCACUCCAGAAUUCUUUUUCACUAUUAUCCUGGGGUGCUUUUUGAUUUCUGUCCUUUGUUGAAUGAUGUUUCCCCAAUUCUAUAUCCUCUUCUGUUGGUCUACUCCAUUCUUUUCUUCUGGGACCCAUGUUCCAAUAUAUUUCCAAGAAAAAUUUACAUGGGAGGUAAAUUUGAGAUAUUGCUGUGAAAUAUUGUUUUAUAUUCGUACUUGUUUGAAAAUUUGACUGGCUGAAGAAUAAGCUAUCAUAUAUCAUUUUUUUCUCAGAAAAUUUUAUGACAUUAAUUUUUUAGCUUCUAAUACUCCUUUUGUCAGAUUUAGUUCCAUUUUUUUCCUGAUCUUAUUUAAUCCAUUGUUUUCUCUCUUGGAAAUCUCUUAAUAGCAUCUCUUUACUUCUAGUAUUUUAAAAUUACCCCAUAGUGUACCUCAAUGGGAUUUUUAGACUGUUUGGGAUUUGGGCUGUUUUAUACUCUUCUACAAUAAAGUUUUUCUUUAAUUAUUACUAUUAUUUUGUGAUUUAUUUUCUCCCCUUUGUUUUCUCUUUCUUGAUUUCAUACUGUGAAGAUGCAAAUCCUCCUAAUUUUUGGUUUAUUCCUGAAGAAUCUUGGAAAGUCACUGGACUUGGAGUGACAGUGAAGGAUAGGGAACAACCAAUAGCAGAAUUCGUUGAAUGUCUGUAAAAAGAACUAUUUGACCCCUCAGGUUCCAACCUCCCUCUGAUGUAUACUGGUAAUUGCUCCUUUCUCACUCUUAGAAAUGGAGGUUUUAUUCUCGGGAGAAAUGGAGCCAGAGUGUUCUGGAUUUUUUUAAUAUAAUUUCUGUUAAACAGUGGGAGUAAAAAGAAAUUUUACAGUCUCGAGAAUGGGACUUGUUGCUCAUUAGAUCCUAGAAUGCCAGAUAGGACGCUGCAACCAUUAUGGUUUUCUUCUCAGCAUCUUCAGCUGCAUGGGAUUAUAGCUUCCUCUGUACCUUUUGCUUUUGUUGUGCUUUGCAUCGUGUAAUUGUAUACAAUUUUUAAAACAUACCCUCAAUUACAAUGAGAUUUCAGGAGAUGUGUUCAAAAGUUUAGAUUUACACUAGACAACUGUAUAUUUUAAGUCAACAAAAGUCAAACACAGAGUUUACAUCAGAGGUAUAACAUUUAUCUAUCUUACACUAUAGAUAAGUUUAAAGAAAAGUGAAAAACUGAGAAAUAGAGGUUUUAGGUGUAGGUAAUACACCUAAAAAAAGCAGACUGUCUUAAACACCCUUGUCCUAUUUUUCCUACUGCUGUACCUUUUGGAAUAUUCUUCUCUCUGGCUUUUGUUGUUCACCCCCCCACACACUUUCUUUAGUUCUUCUUCAUCAAAUGUUUCUUUAAUUUUACUAAACAUAUUUCUGAGCCUACAUGAGAAUAUUCCAGGUGUAGACAGAGCCCCCUCUGAUAUUAAUACUGAACAAUUUCCAGAAGCACAGAUUUUACUGAAAUUGACUAGGAAAAGAACACUACCUUAUAAGACAAACAUAUAUUAUAUAACAAAAUUAAAAUUUUACUUAUAUUUUCUGAUAAAACAUAAUGCCUUCAAAGGAUUUUUAUGACUGUCCAUGUUUCUAGAAUCUCCCGGCAUAUGAAUUCUCACUUCUCUGCCCUCAGGCACUUGAAGAGAGAGUUUUGAGAAACUGCUAGGGGAGCUAAAAUGGUUGUUGGAAUUGGGCCUUCCCAGGAGUCGCAAAAUCUUUCCUCACAAAUAAUAAUCUCUGAGGAAAUUCAUCUUUCAGGAAAUUCAUUGUGUACAUGAGAAUAAGCAGAGUUCAACACUAGUCCCAAUACAACCUUUCUCUGAAAUAUAUUACAAAGAAUCUCUAGGGUUGUCUCUGAGGCAGACAGUUAUUCCUCAGAGUUUCAACUAGUCAAUCAAUUAGAUCAGUCAGAGUUCCAUGAAUAAGAACCAUUAUGCUCCAUGAAAAUUUCUCAAAACAUAUAUAUUUAUAUCUUUGCAGUCCUCACGUAAAAUCAAUGGUCUAUAUAUUAACAAUUGCAGGGUAUUUAUAUGCCCAACUUUCCAUCUGAAUCAAACGCUCUCCUUUACUUUCUGUAGAAUGUCAUAAAAUAACAAAUCUAAUACAUUAGUUAUAGGCAAUGUUAUUAGAAUGUAUGUUAUCUUGUACAGCAGCCAAUGACACAAUAAAAAUGAUCACAUUAGAAAAGCAAACUGCCUUAUUUUGUAAUUUGAAUCUCUACUGUUUUCUUUGUACUCACUGCCUCUUAGUUUCUGUUGAAGUUUAAAUGCACGCAGGACAAAAAUAGGACAAUUGCAAUAUAAAUAAAAAUCGUUGAUGUGAACAACAGAAAAGCUUGAGUGGACGAGGAUAGGAGACAGAAAAUUAAAUUAAGUGAGUGUUUUGGUAAAACCAGAAAGGGCCCCUGAAUUAUUAGUAUGGCUUGAUUGAGAAUGUAGACUACAGCUGAUUGGGCGAGAAAAAACAGUAUUUCCAAGCAAAGAGUGACAAACAGGUAAUGAAAAAGCCAUAAGGUAUUUAGCAGGGUCUUAUGUGAUGUCAUCUCUGAGUCUCAGAAUAAAAAAGGAGUGGAAAGUUAGUGAUACUAUGCUUUUAAAAACUCUCAAGAUCCAUAACAGCAUGUUUCUCCCCACAUCUUUAGCAGCUGCCUUUUCCCCAAUAUCUUUGCUGGUAAUUCCGUAUCUUUUUGGCAUCUUGAGUUUUUAAGCUUUCAUCUCAUCUCAUCUCUUUCUUCAUUGUCUUGGCUUUAGGAAUUAUCUAUAUAUCAUGAACUCACAAAUUUUUAUCUCUAGAAGAAAAUUUUACUUCUGGGCUCUUGACUUGAUGACUCAGCUGCUUUCUUCAUAUCUUCACUUAGAUGCUUUAUAGGUAUCUCGAAGUUAAGACAUCCAAAGUUAAAAUGAAUUUUCCACAUAAUAUUUGUCCAUAUUUCAGUCUUCCAACAAUCAGCGAAUCAUAUCAUCAUCAAUCCAAUUUCCCAAGCCAUAAAUGUGGGAUACCUUCUGGAGGAAUCUCCAUCUUCCUUACUCUAUAUAUAAUCAUUUUUGUUAUACCUCUAGGAUAUUAAAUUUUUCUACUUGUCUCAAUUUAUUCUUUUUCAAUUGAAACCCAUAACUUCCACUUGGAACACUCUAACAAUUUUCCAACUUAUCUUCUUGAUUCAGUCAUAACCUCCAGCAAUCCAUAGUUACCCAGUAACCACAUAAAUUCAAUCCACAACAGUCAUAUUCCAAGCUUCCACGUGGGCAUGACCUUCAGGGAGAAUGUUCAACCCACCACAGUCCACUGUCUGAUCUCCAAUUAUUCACAUCUAUGUAAAAAAUGUUUCUCUCAUCCCAAGGUUUCCAAAGGUCUUAGCCCAUUUUAGCAUCAAACAUCACAUCCCAAAUCUAAAUGUCAACUCAGAACAGUCCAUCCUGGGGCAAAAUUCUUCUCCAUCCACCGACUUU
This 4925-nucleotide long non-coding RNA is filed under the name Sus scrofa (pig). RNAcentral describes it as "lncRNA (ENSSSCG00000056170.1)". The record is from RNAcentral. Lineage: Eukaryota; Metazoa; Chordata; Mammalia; Artiodactyla; Suidae.